GGCGUUAUAGUGUAGUGGUUAUCACUCGAGGUUUUGACCAGUUUGUAACACUGUAUCCUCGUAACCCCAGUUCGAACCUGGGUAACGCCU
This 90-nucleotide transfer RNA is filed under the name Galerina marginata CBS 339.88. Its description in RNAcentral is "tRNA-Gln". It matches the Rfam family "tRNA". Rfam says of the family: Transfer RNA (tRNA) molecules are approximately 80 nucleotides in length. The record is from RNAcentral. Lineage: Eukaryota; Fungi; Basidiomycota; Agaricomycetes; Agaricales; Galerinaceae.